RNAcentral lists this ribosomal RNA (703 nucleotides) under Nostoc sp. 14.13. Its description in RNAcentral is "bacterial SSU rRNA". It matches the Rfam family "Bacterial small subunit ribosomal RNA", at positions 38 to 785 of the family's 1533-position model. The record is from RNAcentral. Lineage: Bacteria; Bacillati; Cyanobacteriota; Cyanophyceae; Nostocales; Nostocaceae.
GGCGGUAUGCUUAACACAUGCAAGUCGAACGGGCUCUUCGGAGCUAGUGGCGGACGGGUGAGUAACGCGUGAGAAUCUGGCUUCAGGUCUGGGACAACCACUGGAAACGGUGGCUAAUACCGGAUGUGCCGAGAGGUGAAAGGCUUGCUGCCUGAAGAUGAGCUCGCGUCUGAUUAGCUAGUAGGUGUGGUAAGAGCGCACCUAGGCGACGAUCAGUAGCUGGUCUGAGAGGAUGAUCAGCCACACUGGGACUGAGACACGGCCCAGACUCCUACGGGAGGCAGCAGUGGGGAAUUUUCCGCAAUGGGCGAAAGCCUGACGGAGCAAUACCGCGUGAGGGAGGAAGGCUCUUGGGUUGUAAACCUCUUUUCUCAGGGAAGAACACAAUGACGGUACCUGAGGAAUAAGCAUCGGCUAACUCCGUGCCAGCAGCCGCGGUAAUACGGAGGAUGCAAGCGUUAUCCGGAAUGAUUGGGCGUAAAGCGUCCGCAGGUGGCUGUGUAAGUCUGCUGUUAAAGAGCAAGGCUCAACCUUGUAAAGGCAGUGGAAACUACACGGCUAGAGUGCGUUCGGGGCAGAGGGAAUUCCUGGUGUAGCGGUGAAAUGCGUAGAGAUCAGGAAGAACACCGGUGGCGAAGGCGCUCUGCUAGGCCGCAACUGACACUGAGGGACGAAAGCUAGGGGAGCGAAUGGGAUUAGAUAC